Non-coding RNA from Lachancea dasiensis, 158 nucleotides. Lineage: Eukaryota; Fungi; Ascomycota; Saccharomycetes; Saccharomycetales; Saccharomycetaceae. The record is from Rfam.
ACAUGGUGAGAUCAACAUCAGACUAGCUUUGUGCAAUGCACAAUUGCUAACCUGUAUCGAACAUGGUUCUUGCCUUUUACCAGAACCAUCCGGGUGUUGUCUCUACCGGGUUCGAGUUUGGGCUCUGUAUUUUUUGGAACCUUUUACCUUUAUUUGUU